Molecule: ribosomal RNA, 485 nt
Filed under: uncultured bacterium
Lineage: Bacteria
Description: partial 16S ribosomal RNA
Rfam family: Bacterial small subunit ribosomal RNA
Source: RNAcentral
GACGAACGCUGGCGGCGUGCUUAACACAUGCAAGUCGAACGGUGAAAGCGGAGCUUGCUCCGCUGGAUCAGUGGCGAACGGGUGUGUAACACGUGGGCAACCUGCCCCUCACUUCGGGAUAACUCCGGGAAACCGGGGCUAAUACCGGAUAUGACCUCCUUGGGCAUCCUUGGAGGUGGAAAGUUUUUCGGUGAGGGAUGGGCCCGCGGCCUAGCAGCUUGGUGGUGAGGUAGUGGCCAACCAAGGCGACGACGGGUAGCCGGCCUGAGAGGGCGACCGGCCACACUGGGACGGAGACACGGCCCAGACUCCGACGGGAGGCAGCAGUGGGGAAGAUUGCGCAAUGGGCGAAAGGCGGACGCAGCAACGCCGCGUGCGGGAUGACGGCCUUCGGGUUGUAAACCGCUUUCAGCAGGGAAGAAGCCGCAAGGUGACGGUACCUGCAGAAGAAGCACCGGCUAACUACGUGCCAGCCGCCGCCGUAA